UUGAGUGUGUGUCCGUGAAUGUAGUGGUCGGGGUGGGGUGGGGGGUCCGUGUUUGCGAUCUGAACCUUUGGUACCUACAAGGAGGGUGUCUCACCGAACGGUAGCUAAAACCUCACCAGAACCGUGCGGAAGUGGGAAGUCGCGGCCGAAAGCGCCUGCCAGAGCCUCUUCUCUCGGCCGGACCCCGGCCCGAGCAGCCAAAAGGAGCCCCCCGCCCGGACUGCAGAAAUACAAUGAUACUAUGAAUUUUAUGAGACUUAUGAGCAAACUCAAUACAUUCAUCUAUGCAGUCUAUUGAUGGGAAAUAGCAUCAGGUAUAUCAGUUUCAACACUGACAAGCAAAAGAAAAAUGUGAUUCAAAGAAGAGAUGAACUCAAUUGCUUUCUUAAUGAAGAGGAUCACAAGAUAAUUCUAAUUUAAGCCCUGAAGGAAAGAAGACUGCCUGGCUGACACUCCUGAUAUUCCAUGGAACACUUUGGUUUACAAGCCCUCUUGGUCUCUAGUGCCAAACUAUGGAGUUCUCACCUUCCACUGGCCUGCUUAACAGAAACGACUCCAUGAUGAAGAAGAUGUGGUUUGAACAUAGCAACACAAUAUGACUACAAUAGGACUGAAUACCAGUGGCCAACAGCACUAUUCUGCAUUUUCUUAUCUGGAUAUAGCGUAAUCAGAGAAAGGAGGCAGGAUAAAACCACCUUGGCUUUUGUGUGAGACAGUGACUAAAGAGAAAGUCUGCUUUGGUUGCAGAAUAUAAGGUUUAUUGAAUAAAGAUACUCAGGGGUGGUGCCUCAGCUGUCAUGUGCCAAGUCAAGGCACUUUACUUCAGUCUCCAUGUAGAUCUUUCUGUUAUAAGAAGGUGACCCAUAAGUUCUUUCAAGUGUCAUUGCUGAAUGUUUUGGCUAUGAUUGUGGUUUUCUUUUAU
This is a long non-coding RNA of Octodon degus (degu), 922 nucleotides long. RefSeq lists it as uncharacterized. Lineage: Eukaryota; Metazoa; Chordata; Mammalia; Rodentia; Octodontidae. The transcript has 5 exons. The record is from RefSeq and is a predicted model, not a curated record.